Lactuca sativa (garden lettuce) is the source of this 1046-nucleotide long non-coding RNA. RefSeq lists it as uncharacterized. The record is from RefSeq and is a predicted model, not a curated record. Lineage: Eukaryota; Viridiplantae; Streptophyta; Magnoliopsida; Asterales; Asteraceae.
CCCCCUCAAACAUAUCCUAUAAUCAGGAACCAUUUAGGGUUCAAAAUUAUAGAAAUCCAAAGGUAUUAUUAUUAGUUGACAUUUUCUUUAAAUUUGUUUCCCGUGUAGGAAAUAGGAAUUAAUUUGAGUCCAAUAUUUAAGAUAGUAUGAUUGACAGUCAGGGCCGGCCCAAUACAUGGGCGAGUUGGGCCUAGGCCCAGGGCAUAAAAAAUAUGGGGGCAUAAUUUUUAUACAAUAUGCGUUACUAUAUACUAUACUAUGUUGGAAGUUCAGUCCAUUUGUGAGUUGUGCUCACGAAGAAAUCAACGUACUGGGGCAUAAUUUCACUGAAAGCCUCCAACAAAUAAUCAAAGUUCUUGAGAUUUUCAAUCGUCAAAAUCGGUAAUCGGUAACACCCUUGAAAACUGAAAAUCGUUGAGCGAUAUGUUGGGAUCGAGGAGUCAAGUUCUAAAUCAGUAAAUCGGAAGCAGAAAGAAGUUUAAUUAUUUAUUGAACAUAUGAGUUCUUAUUUCUGUUUUUUUACUAUCUAUACUUUUAGUGAGUAGCAAAAAGAUCUCUUGACAUCUUGAAAGGGGAAAACAUAAACUUUGGACAUGUUGUAUCUUUUUGUUGCUUAAAUUUUAUAAUUAGAUUUUUUGAGUUAUAUAUAUGUUUCUCUGAAAACAACCAUAAGGUGCUGCUCAAAAUAGAAAACAAAAAGAGAACAAGAAGAGUGGAGUAUGCAAGAAUAAUAUAUAUGUUCACUAAUGUUUUGGUUGUGUAUAUGAUAUUGUUGAUUGUGCAGGUUAUGGUUGCUUCCGCGGAAGGAAAUUUUUCAAAAUUGAAGGUCUUGAAAUUGUAUAUUUACCAUGACUCAAGAAAAGAUUGAAUAUAUUAGCAUUUUUAAGUAUUGAAAGUGAUUUUUUUCAAAAUAUUAAUUAUUGUAAAAUAAGAGAUGUUUUAGCUUCAAAAAAGUACAUACAGACGUCAUUUUAGGUGAUUUUUGUAGGUUUUUUAUUCUACUAUUUGUUUGAUUAUAAUAUUUACUGCAUUUUUUAUUUUAUAAA